Molecule: ribosomal RNA, 433 nt
Filed under: uncultured bacterium
Lineage: Bacteria
Description: partial 16S ribosomal RNA
Rfam family: Bacterial small subunit ribosomal RNA
Source: RNAcentral
AACGAACGCUGGCGGCAGGCCUAACACAUGCAAGUCGAGCGAGGACUUCGGUCCUAGCGGCGGACGGGUGAGUAACGCGUGGGAACGUGCCCUUUGCUUCGGAAUAGCCCUGGGAAACUGGGAGUAAUACCGGAUGAGCCCUUUGGGGGAAAGAUUUAUCGGCGAAGGAUCGGCCCGCGUUGGAUUAGGUAGUUGGUGGGGUAAUGGCCUACCAAGCCGACGAUCCAUAGCUGGUUUGAGAGGAUGAUCAGCCACACUGGGACUGAGACACGGCCCAGACUCCUACGGGAGGGAGCAGUGGGGGAUCUUAGAAAAUGGGGGAAACCCUGAUCUAGCCAUGCCGCGGGAGCGAUGAAGGCCUUAGGGGUGGAAAGCCCCUUCAACUGGGAAGAUAAUGACGGUACCAGCAGAAGAAGCCCCGGCUAACUCCGUG